UAAGCAAACAGUGAAAGCGUACGGCUCAACCGUAUAUACAUUGUUUGAACUGCUCAGCUAGAGGACGAGAGAGGUUAUUGGAAUUUCUAGUGUAGGAGUGAAAUCCGUAGAUAUUAGAAGGAACACCGAUGGCGUAGGCAGAUAACUGGCUUGUUCCUGACACUAAGGCACGAAAGCGUGGGGAGCGAACGGGAUUAGAUACCCCGGUAGUCCACGCCGUAAACUAUGGAUGCUA
Molecule: ribosomal RNA, 235 nt
Filed under: uncultured Candidatus Saccharibacteria bacterium
Lineage: Bacteria; Candidatus Saccharimonadota
Description: partial 16S ribosomal RNA
Rfam family: Bacterial small subunit ribosomal RNA
Source: RNAcentral